AUGUACUGGAUGAUUCUUCUAGGUCUGUGAAGUCGAUGAAAUCUGUAGAGGCAAGAAAUGAAGAGUCGAGAAUAUCAACUGAUUCGUUAUAGUUCUGAAAAAAUAAGUCUGUCUGAUGCGUUGAAGGUAUUGUGAAAGUUUCUGAACUGACAAGGAGAAAAUGGUUUUACAGAGACUGAAUGCCUGGCUAAUGGUCGCUCCAGUAAAGAAUAGUUUAAAAAUUGUCAGAUAUUGGCAAUUAUUACUUAAUAGAAUCCUUCUAAUAUGGCUUUGUAAUACUUAAUUUAUUGAUUCAUUUAUUAUUAUUUUUUUUUUCCGUGGUUACUACAAAGGUGCAGCUGGAAUAGAAAACCGACGAACACAUUUAUGUAUACAACUUAACCUCGAUAAAGAAUUUUUUCCAUUUUUA
This is a long non-coding RNA of Parasteatoda tepidariorum (common house spider), 409 nucleotides long. NCBI's taxonomy places the organism in Eukaryota, Metazoa, Arthropoda, Arachnida, Araneae, Theridiidae. The record is from RefSeq and is a predicted model, not a curated record.